UCUUCUGCUGUUUCUCCUGUUGUCCUUGUUCUUGAUUCAGCUGCUCUGCCAGUUUCUUCUUGUAGUAUUCCUAUUGCCACUGCUGCCUCCUCUUGUACUUCCACUCCCCCUCCGCAACGUUUUGUGCAACAGGAUGAGUUGACCCCAUUGUCUGAUGGCAUACCCGCAGGACAAGGACAGCCUUCUACAGGGCAGCUGAAGCAUCUUCCUCUCGAGUGGAGCUGGCAAGGGCACUACUUGAUGUUCUUUUUGCCAAAGAAGAACAAGCUGUGUCCGGUAUUGGCAACAGAGCUAAUGAGAGGCAGCUGGAUCAGCUAAAGAUGGAUGCUUUGAGAAGUCACUGUGUCACUGCAUUCCCUCUCCAGCCAGGGGAAACGCUGAAGAGCGUCCAUCAGAAACUGAACAAAGCCUUAGGUGACAAGUGCCGGUAUCAGAGAGCAAAAAAGAACGUUUAGCAUUUUGAAAUGGUGUAUGUGCAUGAGUAGCAAUUUCUAAUUGAAAUAAAUGCGUUUAGUGAAACC
This is a long non-coding RNA of Corticium candelabrum, 521 nucleotides long. RefSeq lists it as uncharacterized. The record is from RefSeq and is a predicted model, not a curated record. The transcript has 3 exons. NCBI's taxonomy places the organism in Eukaryota, Metazoa, Porifera, Homoscleromorpha, Homosclerophorida, Plakinidae.